GCCUACGGGUGGCAGCAGUGAGGAAUAUUGGUCAAUGAGCGGAAGCCGGAACCAGCCAAGUCGCGUGAGGGAUUAAGGCCCUGCGGGUCGUAAACCUCUUUUGCCGGGGAGCAGAGGUCCGGACGUGUCCGGGCCGGGAGAGUACCCGGAGAAAAAGCAUCGGCAAACCCCGUGCCAGCAGCCGCGGUAAUACGGAGGAUGCGAGGGUUAUCCGGAUUUAUUGGUUUUAAAGGUGGCGUAGGCGGGCAUUUAAGCCGGCGGUCAAAUGUCGGGGCUCAACCCCGGCCUGCCGUCGGUACUGGGUGCCUUGAGUGGGCGAGAAGUAUGCGGAAUGCGUGGUGUAGCGGUGAAAUGCAUAGAGAUCACGCAGAACCCCGAUUGCGAAGGCAGCAUACCGGCGCCCUACUGACGCUGAGGCACGAAAGUGCGGGUAUCGAACAGGAUUAGAUACCCGAGUAGUC
RNAcentral lists this ribosomal RNA (461 nucleotides) under uncultured bacterium. RNAcentral's name for it is "partial 16S ribosomal RNA". It matches the Rfam family "Bacterial small subunit ribosomal RNA", at positions 337 to 795 of the family's 1533-position model. The record is from RNAcentral.